UGAAUAUCAUUGAAUGAUAAACCCGUGC
This 28-nucleotide small RNA is filed under the name Bombyx mori (domestic silkworm). Its description in RNAcentral is "ovarian small RNA-31091". Lineage: Eukaryota; Metazoa; Arthropoda; Insecta; Lepidoptera; Bombycidae. The record is from RNAcentral.